AGCAGUAGCCGCGGUAAUACGAAGGGGGCUAGCGUUGCUCGGAAUGACUGGGCGUAAAGGGCGUGUAGGCGGUUUUGACAGUCAGAUGUGAAAUUCCUGGGCUUAACCUGGGGGCUGCAUUUGAGACGCGUAGUCUAGAGUGUGAAAGAGGGUCGUGGAAUUCCCAGUGUAGAGGUGAAAUUCGUAGAUAUUCGGAAGAACACCAGUGGCGAAGGCGGCUCACUGGCUCAUACUGGACGCUGAGGUGCGAAAGCGUGGGGAGCAAACAGGAUUAGAUACCCCCGUAGUCCCUGUCUCUUAUAC
This 303-nucleotide ribosomal RNA is filed under the name uncultured bacterium. RNAcentral's name for it is "partial 16S ribosomal RNA". It matches the Rfam family "Bacterial small subunit ribosomal RNA", at positions 507 to 807 of the family's 1533-position model. The record is from RNAcentral.